CGUGGGUAACCUACCCAUCAGAGGGGGAUAACACUUGGAAACAGGUGCUAAUACCGCAUAACAGUUUAUGCCGCAUGGCACAAGAGUGAAAGGCGCUUUCGGGUGUCGCUGAUGGAUGGACCCGCGGUGCAUUAGCUAGUUGGUGAGGUAACGGCUCACCAAGGCCACGAUGCAUAGCCGACCCGAGAGGGUGAUCGGCCACACUGGGACUGAGACACGGCCCAG
RNAcentral lists this ribosomal RNA (225 nucleotides) under uncultured bacterium. Its description in RNAcentral is "partial 16S ribosomal RNA". It matches the Rfam family "Bacterial small subunit ribosomal RNA", at positions 116 to 334 of the family's 1533-position model. The record is from RNAcentral.